Molecule: long non-coding RNA, 483 nt
Organism: Thalassophryne amazonica
Lineage: Eukaryota; Metazoa; Chordata; Actinopteri; Batrachoidiformes; Batrachoididae
Exons: 4
Source: RefSeq, a predicted model, not a curated record
GGGGAUCCUAUCUGGCUUUGGAUCACUUAUGAACAAGUUGACUGGUGGUCAAGGAGGGGUCAUUGUCAACACAGCAUCCAUGGCAGGUCUUGGUCCUGUAAUAUGCUGUCCUGUCUACACAGAUACCAAGCAUGGAGUGGUCGGCUUCACUCGGGCCAUGGCCGGUAUAAAGAGGCCUCUGCUGCAUCCAGCUAAGGUGUACGGUUCAAUGCCCUCUGUCCAGGUUACGUUGAAACAGUUCUCUUAUCCAACAUUUCAAAGAAUAUGGGACAGUUCUCACACCUGAAUGAACAGAACCAAGAAUCUGUGGAAAAGCUUGGGAUUUUAAAUGUGAGCAAGGUAGCUGAAUGCUUCCUUGAGCUGGCGACAGAUGAGAUGAAGAACGGAGAAGCCCUCAUGGUGCACAGCAAAGGACAGAUGUACAUCACAUUUCCUCCCUCACUUGUUUAGCUGUUGGCAGUGUCAAACCACAGCAACAUGGGA